Molecule: long non-coding RNA, 199 nt
Filed under: Populus trichocarpa (black cottonwood)
Lineage: Eukaryota; Viridiplantae; Streptophyta; Magnoliopsida; Malpighiales; Salicaceae
Description: long non-coding RNA (PTRI_LNC002605)
Source: RNAcentral
UUAGCUGAUAACAAAGUAAUUGCCCGUGACAUGCAUACAGAGUGUUGUUCAGAAAAGAAAGAAGAAGAAGAAGAAGAAGCAGCAGCUUAGCAGCACCUGGUCCAUAAGGACCAUAACACAUGAGCUACAGCCUCGUGUGGCUAAUUGUCAUUGGCAUCGACAAGGUGAAAAAAUACAUUCUCAACGACACAUUAUUCAG